GUUAAAUCAACAACUUUGAGAGUACGUUAAGUAUUCUCAUCUCAUGCUAAAUCCUCGUCUCUGUUUCUGACCAGUUAAUAUUGAUCUUUGUAUUAUUUAUCUAUUUAGUUAAAUAGUAAACACUUACAAUAUAGUCUUUAUUAUGUUAUGCCUAAAGUGUUUGUUUUAUGCAAUGUAAGUACAGAAAUACGAUUGUUACUGACUAUGAGUAGUUUUUCAGGUCACUGCAUGAGAGAUCAGGGUGAGGGCGAAUUGUUUCAGGCCGAUGAGAAAGUCAAACAACAUAAACUUAGUGUAUAUGAAAACACAAAAGACAGCUAAAAUGCAUUUUAAGCAGACGUUUUUGUGGGUUCUACAUCUGUGCAUAUACAGGCUAAAUCUGUUCAUAAGUGCUUCAGUUUCAUGACAGUAGCCUAGUAAAUAGAGUUUACAUGUGUCAUAUUUAGAAUCAGUUUACAUAUAACAUUGAUUCUUUAUUCUUGAUAUUGUUUAAUGUCAUUUAUUCACAGAUUGUAUUAAAGGACUCUCGUCAUGUAAUACUGUCACAGAGCAGUGGUUCUUGUGUUGCUGGGAGAGCACAUUGUUGCACUACUCAGAACUUGGCAUCAGUGAAGUUCACAGCUGUACUGAAACGGUUGAGAGCUGACACAGACCUAGAACAAUGAGGUUCUGUCUGCAAGACCCAAAGAAAUGAGCUUGCUGAUGUAUUAAGGAGUACCUUUUAAAAGAGCGUCACCUGUAAGCUGCCUGACCUCACAGUCCUCCAAGUAGCAGAGGCAUUUAAGGCCUUUGCCAGUGCUGUAGCCCCUUCGGUCACCACUAUCAGGAUGUCACAUGUCAAUUCUUUGGUGGAUUUUGGCUUUGGCAGAGUUUAGUAUGGAAGUGUGCUGUCAUACCAGCAGCAACAACACGCAACCUUAAUCGCAAUCAAGAUGCCCCAUAACUACAACCUCUGCAACUACUUGGCUACAGCCUUGACACAUCUGUUUGCUUGUUAGUUAUUUAUAUUUACAUGUUUACAUUUCUGAAGUGUAGGCAGUUAUUUACAGUAUAUUUAAAUACAUUACUGCAUGGUAAAUGUUCAAAGCCACAUGUUUACAUUCCUGCAGUGCAUGCAACACUGAAUAAAAGUUACUUACAGUAUAUUUACAUUCA
Non-coding RNA from Misgurnus anguillicaudatus (oriental weatherfish), 1155 nucleotides. The record is from RefSeq and is a predicted model, not a curated record. NCBI's taxonomy places the organism in Eukaryota, Metazoa, Chordata, Actinopteri, Cypriniformes, Cobitidae.